AAAGCUGUGGCUCGACCCGAGGCUCUGCUGGCGGUGCCGGGUGAUGAUCCGUGUGUUGUCUGCUUGUUUUCAGGGAAUGCAGAGGUGGAAGACGACGAGGAGGAGAUCACACAGUUUUUAUUCGACUACGCAGCUCGUUACAGUGAUUACCUCUAUUCCACGGGAGACUAUUACUACGACAACACCACGGGAAUGCCCACCCCCUACACGUUUGAGAUGGAUUCCUACGAGACAAACACCAUCGGGGAUUAUGGGCAGUGGUUUCCACAAGAGGAUGCCACCACCAAGAUUUCAGGGAUACCAGACACGGAUGCUCCAGGGGAUUCCAGGAAUGCCAAGGACAGUCAGGAUUUCUGGGAGUCAGCGGGAUCACCCCUCCAGAGCCACCUCCCCCUCGUCACCCUCCUCAGUCUCCGGGGUCUCCUGCUAUGACCCCCCCAUGCUCCUCCUCCGAAGGUAUUCCGGGAUUUCAACACUUGCUCAAAGUGUGUCCUUCAACCCUGGAAAAUCCAA
RNAcentral lists this long non-coding RNA (513 nucleotides) under Lepidothrix coronata (blue-crowned manakin). Its description in RNAcentral is "lncRNA (ENSLCOG00000009886.1)". Lineage: Eukaryota; Metazoa; Chordata; Aves; Passeriformes; Pipridae. The record is from RNAcentral.